CCUACGGGGAGCAGCAGUGGGGAAUAUUGGACAAUGGGGGAAACCCUGAUCCAGCAACGCCGCGUGAGUGAAGAAGUAUUUCGGUACGUAAAGCUCUAUCAGCAGGAAAGAAAAUGACGGUACCUGACUAAGAAGCCCCGGCUAACUACGUGCCAGCAGCCGCGGUAAUACGUAGGGGGCAAGCGUUAUCCGGAUUCACUGGGUGUAAAUGGAGCGUAGACGGCCAUGCAAGCCAGGGGUGAAAGCCCGGGGCCCAACCCCGGGACUGCCCUUGGAACUGCAUGGCUGGAGUGCGGGAGGGGCAGGCGGAAUUCCUGGUGUAGCGGUGAAAUGCGUAGAUAUCAGGAGGAACACCGGCGGCGAAGGCGGCCUGCUGGACCGCGACUGACGUUGAGGCUCGAAAGCGUGGGGAGCGAACAGGAUUAGAUACCCUAGUAGUC
This 440-nucleotide ribosomal RNA is filed under the name uncultured bacterium. RNAcentral's name for it is "partial 16S ribosomal RNA". It matches the Rfam family "Bacterial small subunit ribosomal RNA", at positions 338 to 795 of the family's 1533-position model. The record is from RNAcentral.